GAUUCGUCACACUAUCAUUAACUGAAUCCAUAGGUUAAUGAGGCGAACCGGGGGAACUGAAACAUCUAAGUACCCCGAGGAAAAGAAAUCAACCGAGAUUCCCCCAGUAGCGGCGAGCGAACGGGGAGGAGCCCAGAGCCUGAAUCAGCAUGUGUGUUAGUGGAAGCGUCUGGAAAGGCGCGCGAUACAGGGUGACAGCCCCGUACACAAAAGCGCAUGUGUUGUGAGCUCGAUGAGUAGGGCGGGACACGUGGUAUCCUGUCUGAAUAUGGGGGGACCAUCCUCCAAGGCUAAAUACUCCUGACUGACCGAUAGUGAACCAGUACCGUGAGGGAAAGGCGAAAAGAACCCCGGCGAGGGGAGUGAAAAAGAACCUGAAACCGUGUACGUACAAGCAGUGGGAGCACCCUUUGGGGUGUGACUGCGUACCUUUUGUAUAAUGGGUCAGCGACUUAUAUUCUGUAGCAAGGUUAACCGAAUAGGGGAGCCGGAGGGAAACCGAGUCUUAAUUGGGCGUUAAGUUGCAGGGUAUAGACCCGAAACCCGGUGAUCUAGCCAUGGGCAGGUUGAAGGUUGGGUAACACUAACUGGAGGACCGAACCGACUAAUGUUGAAAAAUUAGCGGAUGACCUGUGGCUGGGGGUGAAAGGCCAAUCAAACCGGGAGAUAGCUGGUUCUCCCCGAAAGCUAUUUAGGUAGCGCCUCGUGAAUUCAUCUCCGGGGGUAGAGCACUGUUUCGGCUAGGGGGCCAUCCCGGCUUACCAACCCGAUGCAAACUGCGAAUACCGGAGAAUGUUAUCACGGGAGACACACGGCGGGUGCUAACGUCCGUCGUGAAGAGGGAAACAACCCAGACCGCCAGCUAAGGUCCCAAAGUCAUGGUUAAGUGGGAAACGAUGUGGGAAGGCCCAGACAGCCAGGAUGUUGGCUUAGAAGCAGCCAUCAUUUAAAGAAAGCGUAAUAGCUCACUGGUCGAGUCGGCCUGCGCGGAAGAUGUAACGGGGCUAAACCAU
RNAcentral lists this ribosomal RNA (1013 nucleotides) under Salmonella enterica. Its description in RNAcentral is "partial 23S ribosomal RNA". It matches the Rfam family "Bacterial large subunit ribosomal RNA", at positions 137 to 1190 of the family's 2925-position model. Lineage: Bacteria; Pseudomonadati; Pseudomonadota; Gammaproteobacteria; Enterobacterales; Enterobacteriaceae. The record is from RNAcentral.